Non-coding RNA from Triticum urartu, 6004 nucleotides. Lineage: Eukaryota; Viridiplantae; Streptophyta; Magnoliopsida; Poales; Poaceae. The record is from RefSeq and is a predicted model, not a curated record.
AUCAUCCUUAGUUUGCAUCUCACCGUCGAAGUCAACCACCAAAAUUGAAGUGAGAAAACCUCGCGAAGAUGUAUCGAUGGCCACCGCAAUCGAGAAGCAUUAACGUGCGCAUCAUGGGCGUGCCCUCGCGCUGUCCACCUCAUCACAGGUAGGACAAGAAAACCGGAUCUGGCUAGCGAACGGGUUGGGCAGGACCGCAAAAGCGUCUCGUUUUCUGUCUCAUAUUGAUUGAAAAGACCAUUCUUUGUGUGUCGCGGCGAGAUAACACCUCCCCUAGGACGAUUUGCCUUCUCCACGAAGGAAAACCUCGCCUCUUCCCCUCGGCGCAACCACACCCUCCUGUUCUCCGCCGCCUCGCCGCCCCUUCCCUCCCCCCUCAUCCCUGCUUCAGGGUGAAGCAACACGGCGAAUCUCCCCAAGCUGCACGCUGUCUGACGCCUCCGCCCGCGACACCAGGUCCCGCUGCCCCUCCAGUCCCAGCACAUGGUCGCGCCAGCCCCGCCCCACGACGUCGUCUGCGUCGAUCUGAAGCCCGCACACGAUGGGAACAAGGUGGGGAUGGAGAUGCGGGUCCUUUUCUUUCGAUCACCCGUUGAAGAUUUUGAAGCUUUCUGUCCAUGUCGAGGAUUUUUGCCCCAGAGCUUAUGGGACUUUCAAGAUAUAGAGAAAUCAAAUGGUAAAAACAGGAAUGCCCACUACAUCCUGUUCAGAAGGUUGCAUAAAAGUUCCAACUGCGUAAAGAUCUAAUAUCCACCCUCCUUCAUAUUAUUUUCUUCUAUGAUAUAUUCAGUAUUUAAGAAGGGCGAUUGAUACGCUUUGGUGUACAUGAUGGUAUGAUCCUUUUUUUAUUGAUUUCUUAUAUGCCAUCAAGACUUGUUUCACUUAUAUUUCCGCUUUGUUUAGACCAUACUUCGUUCUGUAGCGAUAGAAGAUCAUUUAUUAUACUAAUGUACUAGCAUAUGAACCAUCCUUAGCUGACUCGUUUUCCCAAAUGCUUUGCCGGUGUCCACUUUAACAUUAUCUCUAGAGUGUUUACUUAAUUACAAAUUGUGUGAAUAGCUGAUUUUAGCAUGAACAUGCAGUAUGCAAAAUCUGAAUUUUCCAUCAUAUCCCAUGGUCAGGGUUCUCUACUAGACAACAGAAAAUAUGAGGGACAUAUUUUUUUUCAAGGAUAUAAAUCACACCUGUUGUGUGCAUAUCUGGUGAGGCAAAUUUCUGAGAGGAGAAAUAUGGAAAACAAAUGUUCAUGUAUGUUUUGUCGUUUGGAACAAUUAUAACUUGUUUUGGUUCUUUAUAGGUUGCUGAUGUAUGGUCAAAUUCCUGAAGUUGCAACUGCACCAUUACACUAUGUUAAAUAAUUUUUGAUUGACUACUACUGUUUACUUGAUGUUUGGUUCAGAAAAUAGGAUCUAGCUUCAGUUAAGUUAACCAUCAGUUUGUUUCAGGCUUCAGGUUAUGGGGUGGUGCUGGUGCUGGUCGACGAGCUCACUACCGGCCAUGCACGCCUUGAGGUCACGGUCUGAAAGAUCUUUUCCUCCGCUGUUCAGAUUAUUGCUAACAAUGUUGAUAUUAGGAGGCAACAUAAAUUUGCUUCAGUUUGAAAUAUGUUUGCUUUUUCUGUAUAUUUGGUGUAAUAUAGUAUGUGUAUAUAACUUGGAGAUACCAACAAUUUAAUUUCACAUCUAUAUAAAAAUGUGAGAUUGUUUUUAAAUAUGAAACAAUUUUUUUUCGAAAAGUCUGGCUUAAAUGAGUCAAAGAUCCAUUUGGAGAUUUCUGUGAAUAUUGCCAUUUGCAGAGAAUUUAUCAGGUGCAGCUUGCUACCGGAGAGCUAUUCCAAAGGAAGCAGUAAAGUUCAGAGAAGGGAAACAUACAUACCUUCAGAUUUGCACAACUGUCUGCAACUGCAUAGAGCGAUUCGUCAGUGAUGAAUGUCCCACCAAUGUUCAGGUGUUGCAGAGAACGAGCCCUUGAAACCUGAAGGACUUUGUGAAGUGCCGUACAACAAGACCCUGGAUUGGUCUAAAUGGUACAUAUUCUGGUCUGAUUAACGUGCUGUAGCAAAGAACCACGCAGAUAGUAAUAAGUUAACAAAAGAAGGAUUUCUGUCAAAGGUAUGUGGACUUUAGAAGGAAAUCCGCAGUACAAUCUAGAACAAAACCACAGAGGAUUUCAAUGGUUUUUUCCCUCAAGAUUUUACUUGUUUUACAUAUAUUAGUUUUGGGUAUUUGUUACUUCAGUUUCAUUUUACAUUGCACUCAUGAGAUGAUAGUUAUACCUUGCAUGAGAUCCAUGAUACACACACACACACACACACAUCAAAUUUGAGAACAUGUAUUCUGGUAUGUCAUCAAUUGUUGUGCUCAUAAUUAAUUAUAUUUUCCAUUCCUUCAUUUGUGCCCUCUAAACACUUGUCAUUCUUGUGGCAGGUUCGAGAGUACCGAGGAUAUACCAUCAUUUUGAAAAUUCGAAUUUGGCUAAUCCAUGUGUACUGGACCUGCUUUUGAAGCCAUCCUGUCUCCUUUUUGUGAAGGUUGGGUUGUGCGGUUGAUUGAGUUUUGUGGGUGACCUGGUCAGGAGAAGGAAGGUGCAUCAAUUUUGCUUUUCUCAAUUCUCCCUUUUGGAUUGAGUUGUAGCUAGCUUCCAAGGAAGUUCAUUUACUUGAUAAGAAAGGUUAGCUUGAAAUUGUGAUCAUUGGUAGUUCAGAAAAUGUGGCAGAUCUUUUCUUCAGGUUAUGCGCUUUGCAUGGUCGUCUAUCUGUUGUGGCGUCUACAUUCUAACUUCUGAGCAAAGCUAUAUUUUUGCAUUAUGGCUACUUCUCUUUCAUAAAGGAAUGUCACUUUAUUCAUGCUUGAUAUGCAUUCAUAAGAAACGGCACCAGACCCAUGAGCUUUACCGCCAUUGAUAAAUGGUGCCAUUUAUUGAUGUUGAUGUGGGCACACAAGCCUGACCAAAAUGAGCAGAAAAGGGGCGCCACACAACGUGGCACCGCCCAUUGCUCCCCUCAGGUGGUGCCACAUGUUUUGGCCGAGUCACAAUUGAUGUAUGUCUUCCUCCUGACUUGCCCUUGCUUUCUGAAAUCUGAUUAUUACAUCAAACAUGCACCUGAGUUUGAAUUAUGAUGAUCACAUGCUACUAUCACGAGACAAUGCAAAUAUCUUUCUCAAAGAAAAAAAGUAUUUUUUCUUUAUCCGCGAUAUGAUCUUUUUCACAUGCAAGCAUUGUAUAGCCGACUAGGUUUGUGAUUGAAUCUUUUCUUUGUAGUGGUAACAAUUUAUUGCAGAUAACCUAGAUUUAAUCUACCUUGUGCAACCACUUGUGAUGCUGGAGACAACAGGAUGCAAUGUCAGAUCUAGUGUAUUUUGGACGUGUCGCUUUAAUAUUAGCAAGCAGUGACAUUUGCUGGUGCCAAUUGAUGAUGAAAUUUGAUUGACGUACUGAUUUUAAACUUUGCAAUGAUUGGCUAUCUUAUUCAUCUGAAUUUUUUUGUGCAUGCCAGGAGGAAGCUUGACAGCCUGGGUGCCCGAUCUCUCCAAGGUGGUGAGAUGGAGGCCUGCUCAUGUUGUUUUGCUGGUUGUUGCAGUUCCAGGGCCUCAAAGAGCACACCUCUUCCUCGCCAAACUUGUCAUGGAGUGCGGUGACGUUUAAUCGCCAAUGCCUCUUUUAUGUUGAAAUCUGUGCUUAAGUUAGAUUGAGAAAGAUUUUCAUGCUGGGUUGAUGUUGUUAGUCUGAGAUAAUGCUAAGGGCAGGGACUUCCUGCAUCUGCAUGAUUGUGUGUCAUUUGUGCUAUAAGCAAGCCUGGCUUGCUUGCUUUUGAACCAGCUACAUUAUAUGGAACGCAUCACCAAAGCAGCUCUAUUGUUGGUUGCUACUCACCCAGACUGCAAAAACCAAGUGAAAAGAACGCAUGCCAACCUGGCCUCGCUCUCAACUUCCUCUCAGGAGGCGCCACAUGUGGCGCCCCAACCGCUAGUCCACAUCAAGGUCGCUGCCGGGAUGAGAUGACCAAUCGUCGGCGUGGGCCCAGCAAACAGCGAUGCAUCGGAUCUAAACGUAGCAGCCACACUGACGAUGGGCGCCGCAUAUCUCAUCCAGAACGCCAUCUUCUUGACCCGGAGGGGCCAGCCGGCAGCACUGAUCGGCAUCUUAAAUGUCGAAUCUGGCCCCUGGGCAACGGCCGCCGCCAUGGCGCCUCGUCUGCCAGGCCAGAUCUUGGCGCAAGCAGCGCAUGGGGGCGCUUGUCCUGUCAUCCGGACAGCCACAGAGCACCGCCCAAAGCCGCCGCCGUCGGUGAGAAGUCACAAGUACGUGCAAAGCAAGCCCUCAACCAAGCACACAGGUUGAUUGAUUUGUUGCCAAGCAAUACAUGCACGUCUAGAAUCGAUUCGAUCUCUCCAGGUCUUCGUAGUCCCUGAAGAACAGCCAUAAGCAGGGGCCCCGCCGCCGCCGUCAGCCGCACGCCGGCAGCAUCCUCCAGCAACGGCGGAGGGAACGACGGGAGGAGAGGGAGUUAGGCGGGGCAACGCCGCCGCCGCCCGUGUCGCCCGGGAUGAGCGACGCGGGGGGCAGAGCGUGAUUUUUGGAGAGGUUUGUUACUCCUAAAUAAUUUGCCAACUUAACAUAAUUUGUGCUUGCGACACUGUACCAAUAUUUCAUAGCUACAUCUGAUCUUUCCCGCAGCGUGUGAAGUCAUCUAGUUUGGAAGAGGAUGUACCAAUUUGGAAGGACACGUAUUAACCAAGUUCAAAUAAAUGAUGCCACAUGCCCCUGUUGUACAUCAUGAGACUUUCAUUAUUUGAACCUUCCGAGUUCAGAUAUCUGACAAAUUUAUCCGAUAUAAAUGUUAUGAGCAAUCGAAUCAUGUGAAGGUAAAUCAUCUCUAUAAAUGCGACCACCGAUGGAUUGUGUGCUCUAUGAUUCAUGACUAGGACACAACCCAUGGACCCUCAACAGCUUUCUCUCCUAUACCAGCCCUUAGCAAAAUUAUUGCAAGAAAAAAGGGCGCUUGCUUGAGAAUAUGUGACAUCGGGAAUUGAGUGUUUAGUAUGCAUCGAUGAUCUUGUGCUGAUGCUUGGGCGUACAGGCAGGCGUACCUAGAUUGUCGAAGUCUACUUUCCCAGGCAAGACGCAGUUUUAGCAACAACCUUGACCACAACCAGCCUUGCCCAUCUGGGCAAGCAAACUGCGGUUCUUCGAGAACCUAGGACAGAACCACUUCCCGUCCAUGCACGCGAGAUAACUUAGUUCUGCAACACCCUCGACCUGAAGUACCUGCAGCACGGAUAGAGGCGGCCGUUGCGGACACGUCCACAACCGAUGUUGCUGAACUAUUACCUUGAGCAAGGGCCCUGAAGGAUAUCAAGUGCGUCUUGGUUUCAGGUAUUACCACAGAGGUGGCGGAGCUGAUGGCUUUAGUGCACAAUGUUGCUCGGUAAUGCCAUGAUCCACGACAGUCUUUUGUCUCCUCAUUGAUUCCCUUCCAGGCUUCCAGUGCAAACGCAGCUAACCAAUUUUUCUAAGGCCGAUGACCUCCAACCUACUCUAUGAACCUUCUUCCAGCUGACUAAACAUGCAACCUCCAUACAAUUUGUCUCUUCCGCAGAUUCAUAGAGAAAAUUCCAACGAAGAUCUUCAAUCUGCUUUAUCACCGAGAAGCCCAAACAGGUUAAUUUUAAUUAACGUAGAUAAAAAAAGGAUGGACGAGAGCACAGUGUUGACAAAACAUGAGCGGUCCGCUAGAAUUUGGUCACAAGUUUAUUCAUGGCAGGCUGCAGGUUGGCCUUUGUAAUGUUCUUGUAAUACAACAACAGCUCUAGAUAUAUCUAGGGGCAUUUGUAAACUAGGACGGAACCAGUCAAAAAUGGAAUAUUAUCUCUGUUAGACCAGCAUGACAAUUUAAUUUGAGUCUUGUUGAUUUUGUACACUAGAGUAUAAUUCACACAAUUGUUUCUUUGUGAUGGGAUCGUUGCAGGGUGGUAUUCCGUUUGUAAUGCAAGUACCCAAGAUG